RNAcentral lists this transfer RNA (77 nucleotides) under Thermosynechococcus sp. TA-1. Its description in RNAcentral is "tRNA-Ser". It matches the Rfam family "tRNA". From Rfam's summary of the family: Transfer RNA (tRNA) molecules are approximately 80 nucleotides in length. Their secondary structure includes four short double-helical elements and three loops (D, anti-codon, and T loops). The record is from RNAcentral. Lineage: Bacteria; Bacillati; Cyanobacteriota; Cyanophyceae; Acaryochloridales; Thermosynechococcaceae. RNAcentral also lists the same sequence under 1 other name.
GGAGAGAUAGCAGAGUGGUCGAAUUGAAAUCGAGUGUGGCAGGGAUGCCACCGAGGGUUCGAAUCCCUCUCUCUCCG